AGUGAACGCUGGCGGUAGGCCUAACACAUGCAAGUCGAACGGCAGCACAGUAAGAGCUUGCUCUUACGGGUGGCGAGUGGCGGACGGGUGAGGAAUACAUCGGAAUCUACUUUUUCGUGGGGGAUCACGUAGGGAAACUUACGCUAAUACCGCAUACGACCUACGGGUGAAAGCAGGGGAUCUUCGGACCUUGCGCGAUUGAAUGCGCCGAUGUCGGAUUAGCUAGUUGGCGGGGUAAAGGCCCACCAAGGCGACGAUCCGUAGCUGGUCUGAGAGGAUGAUCAGCCACACUGGAACUGAGACACGGUCCAGACUCCUAAGGGAGGCAGCAGUGGGGAAUAUUGGACAAUGGGCGCAAGCCUGAUCCAGCCAUACCGCGUGGGUGAAGAAGGCCUUCGGGUUGUAAAGCCCUUUUGUUGGGAAAGAAAAGCAGCAGGUUAAUACCCCGCUGUUCUGACGGUACCCAAAGAAUAAGCACCGGCUAACUUCGUG
This 492-nucleotide ribosomal RNA is filed under the name uncultured bacterium. RNAcentral's name for it is "partial 16S ribosomal RNA". It matches the Rfam family "Bacterial small subunit ribosomal RNA", at positions 29 to 507 of the family's 1533-position model. The record is from RNAcentral.